Molecule: ribosomal RNA, 456 nt
Filed under: uncultured bacterium
Lineage: Bacteria
Description: bacterial SSU rRNA
Rfam family: Bacterial small subunit ribosomal RNA
Source: RNAcentral
UACGGAAGGCAGCAGUGGGGAAUAUUGCACAAUGGGCGAAAGCCUGAUGCAGCUAUGCCGCGUGUAUGAAGAAGGCCUUAGGGUUGUAAAGUACUUUCAUCGGGGAGGAAAAACAAAACUAAUAAUUUUAUUUCUUGACGUUACCCGAAAAAGAAGCACCGGCUAACUCCGUGCCAGCAGCCGCGGUAAUACGGAGGGUGCUAGCGUUAAUCAGAAUUACUGGGCGUAAAGAGCACGUAGGUGGUUUUUUAAGUCAGAUGUGAAAUCCCUGGGCUUUAACCUAGGAACUGCAUUUUGAAACUGAAAUACUAGAGUAUCGUAGAGGGAGGUAGAAUUCUAGGUGUAGCGGUGAAAUGCGUAGAUAUCUGGAGGAAUACCUGUGGCGAAAGCGGCCUCCUAAACGAAUACUGACACUGAGGGUGCGAAAGCGUGGGGAGCAAACAGGGAUUAGAUACC